UAGAGACAUGUAGCACAGAAACAGACCUCUGUCACCCUGAGUCCAUACUGAUCAUCAAGCACCCAUUAAUUCUACACUCUUCACAUUUUCCCUACAUCCCAUUUAAUUCCCCCAGAUUCACAGUGGUCAAUUAAACUAGCUACCCACAUACCUUGGGGGUACGGGAGGAAACUGGAGAAUGGAGAAAAUCUCUAAACCAUCUGAGGUCAGGGUCGAACUUGGGCCACCAGAGCUGCUUCACCAUGCUGCCCCAAGAGUACCAAGUGGAAACUCAAACAACUGGUUCAACCUUUCUUCUGUCUUGCCUAGAAGUUUUGAGGUCAAUGGAGGUGCCUGUAUUCCACAUUCUGAGUAAAUGAAUAAGAAGAGCCUGACAAGUCUGAGAGCUGCCAUAGCAGGGUUGAGCUUCUCCACUGCAAGCACCUGGCUGCUGCUUCGGGCCAGGAGGCAGCAGAAUGGGCCCUCCUCAUCUGGACCAGAUUUCAGUUCAGGCAAGGAAGCCCACUAACAUCCCACAGUUGAAGCAGUUUUGUAAGGAUGAAUGGCUUAACAUUCCACCAAGCUGAAGCACAGGAUUAAUCAACAGUUACUGGAAACAUUUGGGUGAAAUUAUUGCUGUACAAAGUGGUCACACCAGUUAC
Molecule: long non-coding RNA, 641 nt
Organism: Hypanus sabinus (Atlantic stingray)
Lineage: Eukaryota; Metazoa; Chordata; Chondrichthyes; Myliobatiformes; Dasyatidae
Exons: 3
Source: RefSeq, a predicted model, not a curated record